AACGAACGCUGGCGGCAUGCCUAACACAUGCAAGUCGAACGAGACCUUCGGGUCUAGUGGCGCACGGGUGCGUAACGCGUGGGAACCUGCCCUUAGGUUCGGAAUAACUCCCCGAAAGGGGUGCUAAUACCGGAUAAUGUCUUCGGACCAAAGAUUUAUCGCCUUUGGAUGGGCCCGCGUUGGAUUAGCUUGUUGGUAGGGUAAAAGCCUACCAAGGCGACGAUCCAUAGCUGGUCUGAGAGGAUGAUCAGCCACACUGAGACUGGGACGCGGCCCAGACUCCUACGGGAGGCAGCAGUGGGGAAUAUUGGACAGUGGGCGAAAGCCUGAUCCAGCAAUGCCGCGUGAGUGAUGAAGGCCGGAGGGUUGUAAAGCUCUUUUACCCGGGAUGAUAAUGACGGUACCGGGAGAAUAAGCUCCGGCUAACUCCGUG
This 433-nucleotide ribosomal RNA is filed under the name uncultured bacterium. RNAcentral's name for it is "partial 16S ribosomal RNA". It matches the Rfam family "Bacterial small subunit ribosomal RNA", at positions 29 to 507 of the family's 1533-position model. The record is from RNAcentral.